Molecule: unclassified non-coding RNA, 286 nt
Filed under: uncultured fungus
Lineage: Eukaryota; Fungi
Description: partial contains 5.8S ribosomal RNA, internal transcribed spacer 2, and large subunit ribosomal RNA
Source: RNAcentral
AACGCACCUUGCACCCUUUGGUCUUCCAAAAGGGUAUGCUCGUUUGAGUGUCAUUAUACUCUCACACUCUCCGAUUAGAGAGAGCGGUGGACUUGGAUGCUGCCUGGCUUAUGCUGUCAGGCUCAUCUCAAAUGCAUUAGUGCAACUGUUAGUUGGACAUGGUAUGGCGUGAUAAGAAAAAUCCUCGCUGUUUUCUGUCUGAUUAAGAGGUUUGUGCUUCCAAAUGUCUUGCGACAAUGUCUGAUAACUUGGCCUCAAAUCGAGCAGGAUUACCCGCUGAACUUAA